GUGGGGAAUAUUGCACAAUGGGGGAAACCCUGAUGCAGCGAUGCCGCGUGGAGGAAGAAGGUUUUCGGAUUGUAAACUCCUGUCUUAAAGGACGAUAAUGACGGUACUUUAGGAGGAAGCUCCGGCUAACUACGUGCCAGCAGCCGCGGUAAUACGUAGGGAGCGAGCGUUGUCCGGAAUUACUGGGUGUAAAGGGAGCGUAGGCGGGAUUGCAAGUCAGAUGUGAAAUGCAGAGGCUUAACCUCUGAGCUGCAUUUGAAACUGUAGUUCUUGAGUGAAGUAGAGGUAAGCGGAAUUCCUGGUGUAGCGGUGAAAUGCGUAGAUAUCAGGAGGAACACCGGUGGCGAAGGCGGCUUACUGGGCUUUUACUGACGCUGAGGCUCGAAAGCGUGGGUAGCAAACAGGA
RNAcentral lists this ribosomal RNA (406 nucleotides) under uncultured bacterium. Its description in RNAcentral is "bacterial SSU rRNA". It matches the Rfam family "Bacterial small subunit ribosomal RNA", at positions 354 to 777 of the family's 1533-position model. The record is from RNAcentral.